CAUGCAAGUCGAGCGGAAGGCCCUUCGGGGUACUCGAGCGGCGAACGGGUGAGUAACACGUGAGCAACCUGCCCCAAGCUUUGGGAUAACCCCGGGAAACCGGGGCUAAUACCGAAUAUUACCUGGCCUCGCAUGAGGCUGGGUGGAAAGUUUUUCGGCUUGGGAUGGGCUCGCGGCCUAUCAGCUUGUUGGUGGGGUGAUGGCCUACCAAGGCGACGACGGGUAGCCGGCCUGAGAGGGCGACCGGCCACACUGGGACUGAGACACGGCCCAGACUCCUACGGGAGGCAGCAGUGGGGAAUAUUGCACAAUGGGCGGAAGCCUGAUGCAGCGACGCCGCGUGAGGGAUGACGGCCUUCGGGUUGUAAACCUCUUUCAGCAGGGACGAAGCGAGAGUGACGGUACCUGCAGAAGAAGCGCCGGCCAACUACGUGCCAGCAGCCGCGGUAAGACGUAGGGCGCGAGCGUUGUCCGGAUUUAUUGGGCGUAAAGAGCUCGUAGGCGGCUUGUCGCGUCGACCGUGAAAACUUGGGGCUCAACCCCAAGCCUGCGGUCGAUACGGGCAGGCUAGAGUUCGGUAGGGGAGACUGGAAUUCCUGGUGUAGCGGUGAAAUGCGCAGAUAUCAGGAGGAACACCGGUGGCGAAGGCGGGUCUCUGGGCCGAUACUGACGCUGAGGAGCG
Molecule: ribosomal RNA, 682 nt
Filed under: Micromonospora sp. ra-3
Lineage: Bacteria; Bacillati; Actinomycetota; Actinomycetes; Micromonosporales; Micromonosporaceae
Description: bacterial SSU rRNA
Rfam family: Bacterial small subunit ribosomal RNA
Source: RNAcentral